This 383-nucleotide ribosomal RNA is filed under the name uncultured bacterium. RNAcentral's name for it is "bacterial SSU rRNA". It matches the Rfam family "Bacterial small subunit ribosomal RNA", at positions 30 to 416 of the family's 1533-position model. The record is from RNAcentral.
AUUGAACGCUGGCGGUAGGCCUAACACAUGCAAGUCGAACGCGAAAGUCCUUCGGAUGAGUAGAGUGGCGGACGGGUGAGUAACGCGUAGGAAUCUAUCCUGUAGUGGGGGAUAACGUUUCGAAAGGAACGCUAAUACCGCAUACGCCCCAAGGGGGAAAGCGGGGGAGUCUUCGGACCUCGUGCUAUAGGAGGAGCCUGCGUCGGAUUAGCUAGUUGGUGAGGUAAAGGCUCACCAAGGCGACGAUCCGUAGCUGGUCUGAGAGGAUGAUCAGCCACACCGGAACUGAGACACGGUCCGGACUCCUACGGGAGGCAGCAGUGGGGAAUUUUGGACAAUGGGGGCAACCCUGAUCCAGCCAUGCCGCGUGAGUGAAGAAGGCC